UACGAAGGGGGCGAGCGUUGUUCGGAAUUACUGGGCGUAAAGGGCGCGUAGGCGGCGACUCAAGUUAGAUGUGAAAGUCCUGGGCUUAACCUGGGGACUGCAUUUGAUACUGGGUUGCUUGAAUUCGGGAGAGGAUAGCGGAAUUCCCAGUGUAGAGGUGAAAUUCGUAGAUAUUGGGAAGAACACCAGUGGCGAAGGCGGCUCACUGGACCGGUAUUGACGCUGAGGUGCGAAAGCGUGGGGAGCAAACAGG
RNAcentral lists this ribosomal RNA (253 nucleotides) under uncultured bacterium. Its description in RNAcentral is "partial 16S ribosomal RNA". It matches the Rfam family "Bacterial small subunit ribosomal RNA", at positions 524 to 776 of the family's 1533-position model. The record is from RNAcentral.